Molecule: ribosomal RNA, 253 nt
Filed under: uncultured bacterium
Lineage: Bacteria
Description: partial 16S ribosomal RNA
Rfam family: Bacterial small subunit ribosomal RNA
Source: RNAcentral
UACGUAGGGUGCGAGCGUUGUCCGGAAUUACUGGGCGUAAAGAGCUCGUAGGUGGUUUGUCGCGUUGUUCGUGAAAACUCACAGCUUAACUGUGGGCGUGCGGGCGAUACGGGCAGACUGGAGUACUGCAGGGGAGACUGGAAUUCCUGGUGUAGCGGUGGAAUGCGCAGAUAUCAGGAGGAACACCGGUGGCGAAGGCGGGUCUCUGGGUAGUAACUGACGCUGAGGAGCGAAAGCGUGGGGAGCGAACAGG